AACGAACGCUGGCGGCAUGCCUAACACAUGCAAGUCGAACGAGACCUUCGGGUCUAGUGGCGCACGGGUGCGUAACGCGUGGGAACCUGCCCUUAGGUUCGGAAUAACUCCCCGAAAGGGGUGCUAAUACCGGAUAAUGUCUUCGGACCAAAGAUUUAUCGCCUUUGGUUGGGCCCGCGUUGGAUUAGCUAGUUGGUAGGGUAAAAGCCUACCAAGGCGACGAUCCAUAGCUGGUCUGAGAGGAUGAUCAGCGACACUGGGACUGAGACACGGCCCAGACACCUACGGGAGGCAGCAGUGGGGAAGAUUGGACAAUGGGCGAAAGCCUGAUCCAGCAAUGCCGCGUGAGUGAUGAAGGCCUUAGGGUUGUAAAGCUCUUUUACCCGGGAUGAUAAUGACAGUACCGGGAGAAUAAGCUCCGGCUAACUCCGUG
RNAcentral lists this ribosomal RNA (433 nucleotides) under uncultured bacterium. RNAcentral's name for it is "partial 16S ribosomal RNA". It matches the Rfam family "Bacterial small subunit ribosomal RNA", at positions 29 to 507 of the family's 1533-position model. The record is from RNAcentral.